RNAcentral lists this unclassified non-coding RNA (396 nucleotides) under Hevea brasiliensis (rubber tree). The record is from RNAcentral. Lineage: Eukaryota; Viridiplantae; Streptophyta; Magnoliopsida; Malpighiales; Euphorbiaceae.
UUUAACAUAAAUUUAUAAUGUGUAGUCAUAGUUGCCUUGCUACAUGUUUUAGCCGCAUUGCAUCUCUAAGAUGCAUUAGUCUUUUUCUGCGUCUGUUCUUGCAUUGGUUUCAUAAUUCUAUCAACUCCAGUUAAAUGUUGUGCAAUCACAUAUCAGGAUUAUGAAGUCUUUGCAUGGUAGUAUGGUACAAGUGCAUAAAACAAGGAUUCUAUGUAUUUUGUGUUUAUUUGCUUCUUUAAUUGGAGAAUUGUAUCUACAGAUGUGCAAUAUAACAAUUUGUGGUAAGCCAGUGUCAGUAUGGCAUAAUAUGCCUAACAUUGCAUCUUAAUUUGUCCUAUAUUAUGGGAUGAUUUUCCUUAAUUAAUAAUUUAUGUUGCAGAUAUUGACGGUGCUUGA